UAAAAAGGGAAGUGGUGCUGUCACUGAGAUGGCAAAAGGAGGUGGAAAAUUAAUAUCAACAAUGACAAGCAUAAGCUCUUCUCUUCAUAUGUGGUUGUACCACUACAUUGAAGGGCCAACAGCAUUGCUGAGACUGAUAAAUCGAGGUGUCUACAUAAAAGCUGGUGGUCAUCAACUAACACAUGCGUCCUGGAUAAAUAUUCAAACAUAAAAUAUCUCUUAGAGUCAGACCCCUCACUCAGAUCAGUUAUGGCUUAUAUGAAUAAAGAAAAUUAUGAUGAUGCUAAACCUCUCUGGAUAAGACUACUAAUAUGGUUUCCUAAAAAUAAAAUAAUUGACUGUAAAAGUUGUGUGCGAGACCAUUUUCCAGCGUUUGCUAAACUGAUAUGCGCUGAAGUCGAUUAUCGUCAAGAAACCCUGAAUGACGAUGCCAUAUAUGAAACAACGCUGAGGUAAGCAAUGAAUAUAAAUAAUAACGACAGCAGAGCUUCUCACCAGAGGCCUGGCAGGUCACACAUUUAAAAAGCCUUUAUAUUUAUAUAAAUUAUAAUAUUAUAUUCUCUAUGACAAUGAGCCGUCUUCUGGGUCAUCAAAUUUUUGGUUUUUCGACUUCGAGCAGGAGCUUGUGUCAUCUGCCCUGUCAUCAAGCUUAUGUCAUCUGCCUUGUUGGCUAUGUUAAUGAAGCUCAAGCUAGAGAACAUAAAUAUGGCAUUCCUGAGACUGGAACAGGAGCACAGCCUUUUUCCAUUGAACUAGACUCCUUGUGCCACAUUCUAGCUAAACUCAAGCUUUAGUCCAAUUUUAAAUAGUAAUCUUUUCUGAGAAUGAUGUUUUUGACAUUAAACACUCAAAUUGAAAUUAAAAUGCGGAGUGUCUGCUUUAAUUCAAAGGUAUGAGUAACCAUGUACUAGUUACAUUGUUUUGAGUGCCCCCUUUUUUAGGUCACCAAAAAGUAUUUGACAAUUGACAGUUGUUUUAUUGUACUAGAGGUCUAGAGUUGAUGUGGAAUGUUCUUCUUAACAAAAGGACUAAGAAAUUACCAAUGUCAGGAAAGUAAAUCAUUAAGAAAACGGAAAAUCAUAGAC
Long non-coding RNA from Pygocentrus nattereri (red-bellied piranha), 1085 nucleotides. RefSeq lists it as uncharacterized. The record is from RefSeq and is a predicted model, not a curated record. The transcript is spliced from 4 exons. NCBI's taxonomy places the organism in Eukaryota, Metazoa, Chordata, Actinopteri, Characiformes, Serrasalmidae.